RNAcentral lists this ribosomal RNA (553 nucleotides) under uncultured bacterium. RNAcentral's name for it is "partial 16S ribosomal RNA". It matches the Rfam family "Bacterial small subunit ribosomal RNA", at positions 355 to 901 of the family's 1533-position model. The record is from RNAcentral.
UGGGGAAUUUUGGACAAUGGGCGAAAGCCUGAUCCAGCAAUGCCGCGUGUGUGAAGAAGGCCUUCGGGUUGUAAAGCACUUUUGUCCGGAAAGAAAUGGCUCUGGUUAAUACCUGGGGUCGAUGACGGUACCGGAAGAAUAAGGACCGGCUAACUACGUGCCAGCAGCCGCGGUAAUACGUAGGGUCCAAGCGUUAAUCGAAAUUACUGGGCGUAAAGCGUGCGCAGGCGGUUGUGCAAGACCGAUGUGAAAUCCCCGAGCUUAACUUGGGAAUUGCAUUGGUGACUGCACGGCUAGAGUGUGUCAGAGGGGGGUAGAAUUCCACGUGUAGCAGUGAAAUGCGUAGAGAUGUGGAGGAAUACCGAUGGCGAAGGCAGCCCCCUGGGAUAACACUGACGCUCAUGCACGAAAGCGUGGGGAGCAAACAGGAUUAGAUACCCUGGUAGUCCACGCCCUAAACGAUGUCAACUAGUUGUUGGGGAUUCAUUUCCUUAGUAACGUAGCUAACGCGUGAAGUUGACCGCCUGGGGAGUACGGUCGCAAGAUUAAAAGC